GGGCUGCCCUCCAUCAUAUCCACCUCCGGGUUGGAGGGAAUGGGGUCAGCUUAAUCUCUAGUCUUGUAGGACGGGGCUGCUGAAAAUUCAGAGCCCGUUUCCUCAUCGCCUAAGGAUGUGUGAGCCCGCACACCCUCUCUAGGGAGGAGGGCUCACGUGUUUGAGUCAACGGUAUGGACUGUUCCAAGGGAAUGUCCAUGUCUUCCCCAAUAUCCCUUCAUCUCCUGAGACGGCGUCCUUAGAUUAUGCCUCAGAAGCUGAGGCUAUCACCAAGAGUACGUCCUCUAGAUGGAUGUCCUCCUGAAAAAAAGGCCACCGCUGCUUCCUCUCCUUCAAAGGAUGGAGGGCGCAGCUGGCACAUUGCGGGGGAUCCGUGAGGCCGCUCCUGGUGUGCUGUGGUCCCAAACCCAAGAAACAUAGGUCGCGUGAGUCCACAAACACCGCCAUUGAAGAGCAGCUACACUGAGCUCUGACUGAGCUUUUGGGGGUGUUAGUUUCCAACCCUGCUCCUAAACUUGUGUUAACGUCAGACUUUAUUUUCGCUGUUUAUUCCAAAACGUUAUUCUUUCCCUAUUUAUUUUUCCCAAAGGGAUGGCUGAAUGAACCAGAGAUUUCCGAGUUCCCAGUUGUUCUGAACAUGGCACCAGUUGUCUUGAAAGCACCACAAACCCGCAAAGUAGGCUUAGUCUUGCUAUGCUUUCAAACCUGCAGUAAACAUGCACGACAGAAACAAACCAUUUUAGCUUCUCAUGCAUUGAAAAAUGCAUCCUUUCGUUGUAUCCCCCCUCCCCAACAAAAACAGAAG
Molecule: long non-coding RNA, 805 nt
Filed under: Salmo salar (Atlantic salmon)
Lineage: Eukaryota; Metazoa; Chordata; Actinopteri; Salmoniformes; Salmonidae
Description: lncRNA (ENSSSAG00000104683.1, ENSSSAG00075016265.1)
Source: RNAcentral